This 200-nucleotide unclassified non-coding RNA is filed under the name Paralepista sp. RNAcentral's name for it is "partial internal transcribed spacer 2". The record is from RNAcentral. Lineage: Eukaryota; Fungi; Basidiomycota; Agaricomycetes; Agaricales; Paralepistaceae.
UUAAGUUCAGCGGGUAGUCCUACCUGAUUUGAGGUCAAAAUGUCAAAAAUUGUCCAAAUAAAUAGACAGUUAGAAGCUGAACCCCAUGUAAAACUGCUUCUCGACCAUGGCGUAGAUAAUUAUCACACCAAAGACGGUCCACAAAGGUUCCGCUAAUGCAUUUAAGGAGAGCCGACUUCUUAGAAGCCCGCAACCCCCAC